UUUCCGUAGGUGAACCUGCGGAAGGAUCAGUAGAGAACGCCGGCGCAAGCCGGUUCUACCCACACACACCCGUGAACCGUGGAGCAGCGAACGUGCCCUCGUGGUAUCCAAUAGCGUCCGAACCUGGAGCAGCGAACGUGCCCGGCCUCGCGGCCGGGUACCUAAUAGCGUCCGCCCUUACAAAACGUCUAGAAAUGUAACGAACGUAGUCUUAUUUUAACAAAUAAAACUUUCAACAACGGAUCUCUUGGUUCUGGCAUCGAUGAAGAACGCAGC
This 276-nucleotide unclassified non-coding RNA is filed under the name uncultured fungus. Its description in RNAcentral is "sequence contains ITS1, 5.8S rRNA gene". The stretch from base 228 to 276 matches the Rfam family "5.8S ribosomal RNA", at positions 1 to 49 of the family's 154-position model. Lineage: Eukaryota; Fungi. The record is from RNAcentral.